GAACGCUGGCGGCAGGCUUAAACAUGCAAGUCGAGCGGUAACAUUUCUAGCUUGCUAGAAGAUGACGAGCGGCGGACGGGUGAGUAACGCGUAGGAAUCUGCCUAGUAGUGGGGGACAACAUGUGGAAACGCAUGCUAAUACCGCAUACGCCCUACGGGGGAAAGGAGGGGAUCUUCGGACCUUUCGCUAUUAGAUGAGCCUGCGUGAGAUUAGCUAGUUGGUGGGGUAAAGGCCUACCAAGGCGACGAUCUCUAGCUGGUCUGAGAGGAUGAUCAGCCACACUGGGACUGAGACACGGCCCAGACUCCUACGGGAGGCAGCAGUGGGGAAUAUUGGACAAUGGGCGCAAGCCUGAUCCAGCCAUGCCGCGUGUGUGAGGAAGGCCUUAGGGUUGUAAAGCACUUUCAGGAGUGAGGAAGGGCGUAUAGUUAAUACCUGUAUGUUUUGACGUUAACUCCAGAAGAAGCACCGGCUAACUCUGUGCCAGCAGCCGCGGUAAUACAGAGGGUGCGAGCGUUAAUCGGAAUUACUGGGCGUAAAGCGCGCGUANGCGGUUUGUUAAGUCGGAUGUGAAAUCC
RNAcentral lists this ribosomal RNA (579 nucleotides) under uncultured bacterium. Its description in RNAcentral is "bacterial SSU rRNA". It matches the Rfam family "Bacterial small subunit ribosomal RNA", at positions 31 to 602 of the family's 1533-position model. The record is from RNAcentral.